GAAAGGGCGCACGGUGGAUGCCUUGACACUAGGAGUCGAUGAAGGACGGGACUAACGCCGAUAUGCUUCGGGGAGCUGUAAGUAAGCUUUGAUCCGAAGAUUUCCGAAUGGGGAAACCCACCAUACGUAAUGGUAUGGUAUCCUUAUCUGAAUACAUAGGGUAAGGAAGACAGACCCAGGGAACUGAAACAUCUAAGUACCUGGAGGAAGAGAAAGCAAAUGCGAUUUCCUGAGUAGCGGCGAGCGAAACGGAACAUAGCCCAAACCAAGAGGCUUGCCUCUUGGGGUUGUAGGACAUUCUAUACGGAGUUACAAAGGAACGAGGUAGACGAAGCGACCUGGAAAGGUCCGUCGUAGAGGGUAACAACCCCGUAGUCGAAACUUCGUUCUCUCUUGAAUGUAUCCUGAGUACGGCGGAACACGUGAAAUUCCGUCGGAAUCUGGGAGGACCAUCUCCCAAGGCUAAAUACUCCCUAGUGAUCGAUAGUGAACCAGUACCGUGAGGGAAAGGUGAAAAGCACCCCGGAAGGGGAGUGAAAGAGAUCCUGAAACCGUGUGCCUACAAAUAGUCAGAGCCCGUUAACGGGUGAUGGCGUGCCUUUUGUAGAAUGAACCGGCGAGUUACGAUCCCGUGCGAGGUUAAGCUGAAGAGGCGGAGCCGCAGCGAAAGCGAGUCUGAAUAGGGCGUUUAGUACGUGGUCGUAGACCCGAAACCAGGUGAUCUACCCAUGUCCAGGGUGAAGUUCAGGUAACACUGAAUGGAGGCCCGAACCCACGCACGUUGAAAAGUGCGGGGAUGAGGUGUGGGUAGCGGAGAAAUUCCAAUCGAACCUGGAGAUAGCUGGUUCUCCCCGAAAUAGCUUUAGGGCUAGCCUUAAGUGUAAGAGUCUUGGAGGUAGAGCACUGAUUGGACUAGGGGUCCUCAUCGGAUUACCGAAUUCAGUCAAACUCCGAAUGCCAAUGACUUAUCCUUAGGAGUCAGACUGCGAGUGAUAAGAUCCGUAGUCAAAAGGGAAACAGCCCAGACCGCCAGCUAAGGUCCCAAAGUGUGUAUUAAGUGGAAAAGGAUGUGGAGUUGCUUAGACAACUAGGAUGUUGGCUUAGAAGCAGCCACCAUUUAAAGAGUGCGUAAUAGCUCACUAGUCGAGUGACUCUGCGCCGAAAAUGUACCGGGGCUAAAUACACCACCGAAGCUGCGGAUUGAUACCAAUGGUAUCAGUGGUAGGGGAGCGUUCUAAGGACAGUGAAGUCAGACCGGAAGGACUGGUGGAGUGCUUAGAAGUGAGAAUGCCGGUAUGAGUAGCGAAAGACGGGUGAGAAUCCCGUCCACCGAAUGCCUAAGGUUUCCUGAGGAAGGCUCGUCCGCUCAGGGUUAGUCAGGACCUAAGCCGAGGCCGACAGGCGUAGGCGAUGGACAACAGGUUGAUAUUCCUGUACCACCUCUUUAUCGUUUGAGCAAUGGAGGGACGCAGAAGGAUAGAAGAAGCGUGCGAUUGGUUGUGCACGUCCAAGCAGUUAGGCUGAUAAGUAGGCAAAUCCGCUUAUCGUAAAGGCUGAGCUGUGAUGGGGAAGCUCCUUAUGGAGCGAAGUCUUUGAUUCCCCGCUGCCAAGAAAAGCUUCUAGCGAGAUAAAAGGUGCCUGUACCGCAAACCGACACAGGUAGGCGAGGAGAGAAUCCUAAGGUGUGCGAGAGAACUCUGGUUAAGGAACUCGGCAAAAUGACCCCGUAACUUCGGGAGAAGGGGUGCUUUCUUAACGGAAAGCCGCAGUGAAUAGGCCCAAGCGACUGUUUAGCAAAAACACAGCUCUCUGCGAAGCCGUAAGGCGAAGUAUAGGGGGUGACACCUGCCCGGUGCUGGAAGGUUAAGGAGAGGGGUUAGCGUAAGCGAAGCUCUGAACUGAAGCCCCAGUAAACGGCGGCCGUAACUAUAACGGUCCUAAGGUAGCGAAAUUCCUUGUCGGGUAAGUUCCGACCCGCACGAAAGGUGUAACGAUUUGGGCACUGUCUCAACCAGAGACUCGGUGAAAUUAUAGUACCUGUGAAGAUGCAGGUUACCCGCGACAGGACGGAAAGACCCCGUGGAGCUUUACUGUAGCCUGAUAUUGAAUUUUGGUACAGUUUGUACAGGAUAGGCGGGAGCCAUUGAAACCGGAGCGCUAGCUUCGGUGGAGGCGCUGGUGGGAUACCGCCCUGACUGUAUUGAAAUUCUAACCUACGGGUCUUAUCGACCCGGGAGACAGUGUCAGGUGGGCAGUUUGACUGGGGCGGUCGCCUCCUAAAGUGUAACGGAGGCGCCCAAAGGUUCCCUCAGAAUGGUUGGAAAUCAUUCGUAGAGUGCAAAGGCAUAAGGGAGCUUGACUGCGAGACCUACAAGUCGAGCAGGGACGAAAGUCGGGCUUAGUGAUCCGGUGGUUCCGCAUGGAAGGGCCAUCGCUCAACGGAUAAAAGCUACCCCGGGGAUAACAGGCUUAUCUCCCCCAAGAGUCCACAUCGACGGGGAGGUUUGGCACCUCGAUGUCGGCUCAUCGCAUCCUGGGGCUGUAGUCGGUCCCAAGGGUUGGGCUGUUCGCCCAUUAAAGCGGUACGCGAGCUGGGUUCAGAACGUCGUGAGACAGUUCGGUCCCUAUCCGUCGUGGGCGUAGGAAAUUUGAGAGGAGCUGUCCUUAGUACGAGAGGACCGGGAUGGACGCACCGCUGGUGUACCAGUUGUUCUGCCAAGGGCAUAGCUGGGUAGCUAUGUGCGGAAGGGAUAAGUGCUGAAAGCAUCUAAGCAUGAAGCCCCCCUCAAGAUGAGAUUUCCCAUAGCGUAAGCUAGUAAGAUCCCUGAAAGAUGAUCAGGUUGAUAGGUUCGAGGUGGAAGCAUGGUGACAUGUGGAGCUGACGAAUACUAAUAGAUCGAGGACUUAACC
This 2910-nucleotide ribosomal RNA is filed under the name Bacillus thuringiensis DAR 81934. RNAcentral's name for it is "bacterial LSU rRNA". It matches the Rfam family "Bacterial large subunit ribosomal RNA". The record is from RNAcentral. Lineage: Bacteria; Bacillati; Bacillota; Bacilli; Caryophanales; Bacillaceae.